Molecule: long non-coding RNA, 1577 nt
Filed under: Gossypium barbadense (sea-island cotton)
Lineage: Eukaryota; Viridiplantae; Streptophyta; Magnoliopsida; Malvales; Malvaceae
Description: long non-coding RNA (GBAR_LNC014205)
Source: RNAcentral
AGGAAUAAAAGCAUUAACAGUUUACUCCAGUAAAUAAGACCCACGGCAUUCAGAACUACAAAAACAUCUACAUACCCUGAGUUUCUUAUGCGUUGCAACUAGAAGGGGAGGAAUAAGUGAAUACAGAUCACACAAUGGUCUUGUAAGUGCUGAAAAAGUUGGGUGCUCAAUAGCCCUGCAAAAAUUAGAGGAACAUCAUUGUACUCAGAAACUACUUAAAAAUUAGAGGAACUGGAAAUGCUCUUAGUCCACUCCAGCUCAACAUUAUUUCUUUUGAUGCAUUACAAAAAGUAUCCGUAACAUGCUAGUAUUUACUAAAACACUCUGAUAACUUGAGAAUAAAAUUUUAACCAUUUCCUUGCUGAAAGAGAGCCCAUAAUAUUUUGUAACAUAUCAUAGCAAAUGACACAAAUGUCAGUGUAUAGUUCUCUAGCCUAACAAUAAAACGCUGAUAGCACUGUAACCAACUCUGAAUUUCAUCUUUGAUAACUACCCUCUACUCCAACUUGUCAUAUAUUGACUAGGUUUACUCAAUUAAGCACCUCAGGAUAAAUUGUAUUUGAAAUUCAAUUAGCAUAACUCAAACAUCCAUAUCAUUCAUUAGCAGGAGGAAUUGCAAUGGAAUACACUAUUUACUAGUAUGCUUAACAUAAAAGAAUCUACUGUCUCCAUGAAAAAAAAGAUUAUUUAAUGCACCACUGGUGAAGCUAAAAUCUCCACAUGGGACGCCACUAAUCUGCUACAUGCUUAUUAAGUACACGAUUACUAUCCUAUAUGAAAGUUCAAAAACGCCCCAAGCAAGUUAACUGACAGCCAUGAAUGCCUUUAAGUGUAGAUAAUAUAAAAUCGACAAUGGAAACACAAUACAACAAUAGUAAGAAUAGUUAUGGGGUUUCUCAAAUCCACGGUAACGUAAAUGAUGAUAAUCAUUAACUAUACAAAAAGAAGUGAACAUUAGAGUAUUAAGCUUAAUUCGUUUAAGAAAUUCAGCAACCCUAAAAUUACACAACAAAACGCGAUAAAAUAAAGUUAAAAUUCCAACUAAGGAAUAAACAAAUAAAAAAAUGAUAAGAGAUAAGAAAUGAAUCGGGUCAAUCGCAUCUACUAACUGAAGCUUUGAAGGUAGAAAUGUUGAGAUUUUUAUAGAGAAAAUAGCAAGAAAAUUAAAAGGGAAAGCUUCCCUGUAGUGAAGAAUUGGGGGUUGAGUGGUGUAGGGAAGAAGAGGAUGAGUUUUCAUCCUUCUUCCAAUUUCUGGAAAAUCCAGCAAAAAACCACCAAUUUCAUAAAAAACUUGAAGCUUUUGGGUGACUCACCGGCAGAUCUAUGGAGCAGAAAGAUGGAGAAGGAAGAUUAAGCUGAGAGACAGAGAUGGCAAGACAGAGAUGAGGAGAGGCGGAAGCUUUGAGGAAUGGAAAAUGUCUGCUGCUUAGAAGAGAAUGGAAAAUGUCUGCUUAGAGAAAAAUGAAAAAUGUCUUACCAAUUUUGAAGCCGUAAGACAAUUUCCGGAGGAAUGGGCUUGAUUUUACCGUGUUUUGGAAAAUGUUUUCCUAAAGGAAUUCAUUUUCCCCCAAACAAAC